GAGUAUUAUGAUACUUAAG
RNAcentral lists this small nuclear RNA (19 nucleotides) under Arabidopsis thaliana (thale cress). RNAcentral's name for it is "snRNA_14885". The record is from RNAcentral. Lineage: Eukaryota; Viridiplantae; Streptophyta; Magnoliopsida; Brassicales; Brassicaceae.